Molecule: ribosomal RNA, 397 nt
Filed under: uncultured bacterium
Lineage: Bacteria
Description: partial 16S ribosomal RNA
Rfam family: Bacterial small subunit ribosomal RNA
Source: RNAcentral
AUACGUAGGGGGCGAGCGUUGUCCGGAAUGAUUGGGCGUAAAGGGCGCGUAGGCGGCCCGGUAAGUCUGGAGUGAAAGUCCUGUUUUUGAGAUGGGAAUUGCUUUGGAUACUGUCGGGCUUGAGUGCAGGAGAGGUAAGUGGAAUUCCCAGUGUAGCGGUGAAAUGCGUAGAGAUUGGGAGGAACACCAGUGGCGAAGGCGACUUACUGGACUGUAACUGACGCUGAGGCGCGAAAGUGUGGGGAGCAAACAGGAUUAGAUACCCUGGUAGUCCACACUGUAAACGAUGAAUGCUAGGUGUAGGGGGUAUCGACCCCUUCUGUGCCGCAGUCAACACAAUAAGCAUUCCGCCUGGGGAGUACGGCCGCAAGGUUGAAACUUAAAGGAAUUGGCGGGG